Molecule: ribosomal RNA, 1798 nt
Filed under: Myroides odoratimimus
Lineage: Bacteria; Pseudomonadati; Bacteroidota; Flavobacteriia; Flavobacteriales; Flavobacteriaceae
Description: partial 23S ribosomal RNA
Rfam family: Bacterial large subunit ribosomal RNA
Source: RNAcentral
GGAGGCGAACCCGCUGAACUGAAACAUCUAAGUAGGCGGAGGAGAAGAAAACAAAAGUGAUUCCGUAAGUAGUGGCGAGCGAACGCGGAAUAGCCCAAACCAAAGUUGUUACGGCAAUUUUGGGGUUGUAGGACCACGAGAUUUCUUGCGGAUUUAAUAAGAAUUACCUGGAAAGGUAAACCGAAGAGGGUGAUAGUCCCGUAUUGGUAAGAGAAGAUAAGAAUAGUGGUAUCCUGAGUAGGUCGGGGCACGUGAAACCUUGAUUGAAACUGGCGGGACCAUCCGCUAAGGCUAAAUACUCCUGAGAGACCGAUAGUGAACCAGUACCGUGAGGGAAAGGUGAAAAGAACCGUGAAUAACGGAGUGAAACAGAUCCUGAAACCAUACGCCUACAAGCGGUCGGAGCUUCUACGUGAAGUGACGGCGUGCCUUUUGCAUAAUGAGCCUACGAGUUACCGUUGCUGGCAAGGAUAAGUGAUUAAGUCAUGGAUCCGUAGCGAAAGCGAGUCUUAAUAGGGCGCUUAAGUCAGUAGUGGUAGACGCGAAACCGUGUGAUCUACCCAUGGGCAGGUUGAAGUUUAGGUAACACUAAAUGGAGGACCGAACCGUUUAACGCUGAAAAGUUUUCGGAUGACCUGUGGGUAGGGGUGAAAGGCCAAUCAAACUCGGAAAUAGCUCGUACUCCCCGAAAUGCAUUUAGGUGCAGCGAUGAUCGAUAGUUACUUAGAGGUAGAGCUACUGAUUGGAUGCGGGGGCUUCACCGCCUACCAAUUCCUGACAAACUCCGAAUGCUAAGUAAUGAUAAUCAUCAGUGAGGGCAUGGGUGCUAAGGUCCAUGUCCGAGAGGGAAAGAACCCAGACCAUCAGCUAAGGUCCCCAAAUGUAUGCUAAGUUGAAAAAACGCGGUUUGAUUGCCCAGACAGCUAGGAUGUUGGCUUGGAAGCAGCCAUUCAUUUAAAGAGUGCGUAACAGCUCACUAGUCGAGCGAUCGAGCAUGGAUAAUAAUCGGGCAUAAGUAUACUACCGAAGCUAUGGAUUUGCGCAUUUAGUUGCGUGAGUGGUAGGGGAGCAUUCUAACGGCGCAGAAGGUGAUUUGUGAGAAUUGCUGGAGCUUUUAGAAAAGAAAAUGUAGGCAUAAGUAACGAUAAGGGGUGCGAGAAACACCCCCGCCGUAAGACUAAGGUUUCCUCAGCUAUGCUAAUCAGCUGAGGGUUAGUCGGGACCUAAGGCACACCCGAAGGGGGACGUCGAUGGCCAACGGGUUAAUAUUCCCGUACUACUAAUAAUUGUGAUGGAGUGACACAGUGAUGAAAGCACCGCGAACUGACGGAAUAGUUCGUUGAAGCACGUACCUAUAGGUUUGAUAGUAAAAUGCGUCAGACUUGGAGAAAUGCGAUAGUACUUUGAGUCUUCGGACAACGAGAUAGUGUGCCUAAGGGCUGUCAAGAAAAGCUUCUAAACUUAGAUUAUUAGUACCCGUACCGUAAACCGACACAGGUAGUCGAGGAGAGUAUCCUAAGGCGCUCGAGAGAUUCAUGGCUAAGGAACUAGGCAAAAUAGACCUGUAACUUCGGGAGAAAGGUCGCCAGCGCAAGCUGGCCGCAGUGAAAAGGUCCAGGCGACUGUUUAUCAAAAACACAGGGCUCUGCAAAAUCGUAAGAUGACGUAUAGGGCCUGACACCUGCCCGGUGCUGGAAGGUUAAGAGGAGAUGUUAUCUUCGGAGAAGCAUUGAAUUGAAGCCCCAGUAAACGGCGGCCGUAACUAUAACGGUCCUAAGGUAGCGAAAUUCCUUGUCGG